RNAcentral lists this ribosomal RNA (493 nucleotides) under uncultured bacterium. RNAcentral's name for it is "partial 16S ribosomal RNA". It matches the Rfam family "Bacterial small subunit ribosomal RNA", at positions 29 to 507 of the family's 1533-position model. The record is from RNAcentral.
ACGAACGCUGGCGGCGCGCUUAACACAUGCAAGUCGAACGGAAAGGCCUGCUUUCCCUUGUGGAUUGCGGGUACUCGAGUGGCGAACGGGUGAGUAACACGUGAGUGAUCUGCCCCCAACUUGGGUAUAAGCCUGGGAAACUGGGUCUAAUUCCCGAUAGGACUGCAGGGUGGUGCCUGUGGUGGAAAACGAUUUUCUAGUGGUUGGGGAUGAGCUCGCGGCCUAUCAGCUUGUUGGUGGGGUAAUGGCCUACCAAGGCGGCGACGGGUAGCCGGCCUGAGAGGGUGGACGGCCCCAUUGGGACUGAGAUACGGCCCAGACUCCUACGGGAGGCAGCAGUGGGGAAUAUUGCACAAUGGGCGGAAGCCUGAUGCAGCGACGCCGCGUGGGGGAUGACGGCCUUCGGGUUGUAAACUCCUUUCGACCGCGAGGAAGCCACCUGGUUGGAAGGGUGGUGACGGUAGUGGUAGAAGAAGCACCGGCUAACUACGUG